RNAcentral lists this ribosomal RNA (501 nucleotides) under uncultured bacterium. Its description in RNAcentral is "bacterial SSU rRNA". It matches the Rfam family "Bacterial small subunit ribosomal RNA", at positions 30 to 517 of the family's 1533-position model. The record is from RNAcentral.
AUUGAACGCUGGCGGCAGGCCUAACACAUGCAAGUCGAACGGUAGCACAGAGAGCUUGCUCUCGGGUGACGAGUGGCGGACGGGUGAGUAAUGUCUGGGAAACUGCCUGAUGGAGGGGGAUAACUACUGGAAACGGUAGCUAAUACCGCAUAACGUCGCAAGACCAAAAGAGGGGGACCUUCGGGCCUCUUGCCAUCAGAUGUGCCCAGAUGGGAUUAGCUAGUAGGUGGGGUAACGGCUCACCUAGGCGACGAUCCGUAACUGGUCUGAGAGGAUGAUCAGUCACACUGGAACUGAGACACGGUCCAGACUCCUACGGGAGGCAGCAGUGGGGAAUAUUGGACAAUGGGCGAAAGCCUGAUCCAGCCAUGCCGCGUGCGUGAAGAAGGUCUUCGGAUUGUAAAGCACUUUAAGUUGGGAGGAAGGGCAGUAAGUUAAUACCGUUGCUGUUUUGACGUUUACCAACAGAAUAAGCACCGGCUAACUUUAUGCCAGCAGCCG